GGAAAGAAGUCCUGAAGAAACUGAAAAAUAGAGGGGAGAAAUUGCACGAAUAUUUCAACGUCGUCUUCUCCGCAACUCUAAAACUGCAACCUAUAAUAAGUGGAGGAAGAGCGAGGAGAGGAAUAGAGGCAGUCAAAGAGUGGUGGCUAGCAAGCUGGUAUUCUGUCAAUCGAUCAAGAAAUCGGAAGAACCCCAAUUCCCUCCGUGGCUUCGCCCGAUUCCCCUCUCCAAGACCCGUGUCGAUUCCCCAACCAGCACCCGCGGCCUGAGAUGAGACGUUCGAGUGGAAGCAGCAGAUUGGUGAGGCCAAGGCGAAUCCAGCAGCUACACGGCGGAGGCAACAGGCACUUGAAAGGGAAGAUACCGUUAAAGAGAAAAUAAUAUUGGCGCAAGAGAAAAACAUUCAGCAGCUUAAUGUGC
Phragmites australis (common reed) is the source of this 420-nucleotide long non-coding RNA. RefSeq lists it as uncharacterized. Lineage: Eukaryota; Viridiplantae; Streptophyta; Magnoliopsida; Poales; Poaceae. The transcript is spliced from 3 exons. The record is from RefSeq and is a predicted model, not a curated record.